AAACUAGGAUUAGAUACCCUAUUACUUUAAAUUUUAUAAAAGAUAAUAAAUUUUUGAAUUAAUAAAAUUGGCGGUUCUUUUACUGUUUAGAGGAGUUUGUUUUAUAAAGGAUAAUACUCCUAUAAAUUUACUCUAAUUUAAGUUCUUAUAUCGCUGUUGUUAAAAUAUUUUUGAGGAAGAUACUUUAAAUUUAUAUUACAAAAGACUUCAAGUCAAGAUGAAACAAUGUUAGAGAAGAAAUGAACUACAAUAAAUAUUUUUAUGAUGGAUUAAAAUUUUAAAAUUUUAAAGAAGGUGGAUUUAAAAGUAAAAUUGAUGAAAUUAUGAAUAAGGUUCAAAAGGAUGUACAUAUCGCCCCAUCGCUCU
RNAcentral lists this ribosomal RNA (366 nucleotides) under Austropurcellia tholei. RNAcentral's name for it is "partial 12S ribosomal RNA". Lineage: Eukaryota; Metazoa; Arthropoda; Arachnida; Opiliones; Pettalidae. The record is from RNAcentral.